UACGUAGGGUGCAAGCGUUGUCCGGAAUUAUUGGGCGUAAAGAGCUCGUAGGCGGUUUGUCGCGUCUGCUGUGAAAACUCGGGGCUUAACCCUGAGCCUGCAGUGGGUACGGGCAGACUAGAGUGUGGUAGGGGAGAUCGGAAUUCCUGGUGUAGCGGUGGAAUGCGCAGAUAUCAGGAGGAACACCGGUGGCGAAGGCGGAUCUCUGGGCCAUAACUGACGCUGAGGAGCGAAAGCAUGGGGAGCGAACAGG
This 253-nucleotide ribosomal RNA is filed under the name uncultured bacterium. RNAcentral describes it as "partial 16S ribosomal RNA". It matches the Rfam family "Bacterial small subunit ribosomal RNA", at positions 524 to 776 of the family's 1533-position model. The record is from RNAcentral.